RNAcentral lists this ribosomal RNA (424 nucleotides) under uncultured bacterium. Its description in RNAcentral is "bacterial SSU rRNA". It matches the Rfam family "Bacterial small subunit ribosomal RNA", at positions 355 to 796 of the family's 1533-position model. The record is from RNAcentral.
UGGGGAAUCUUGCACAAUGGGGGCAACCCUGAUGCAGCGACGCCGCGUGAGCGAUGAAGCCCUUCGGGGUGUAAAGCUCUUUCGGCAGGGAAGAUAAUGACGGUACCUGCAGAAGCAGCUGCGGCUAACUACGUGCCAGCAGCCGCGGUAAUACGUAGGCAGCAAGCGUUGUUCGGAGUUACUGGGCGUAAAGGGUGUGUAGGCGGCUUUCUAAGUUUGGUGUGAAAUCUCCCGGCUUAACCGGGAGGGUGCGCCGAAGACUGGAAGGCUAGAGUAUGGGAUGGGAGAGUGGAAUUCCUGGUGUAGCGGUGAAAUGCGUAGAUAUCAGGAGGAACACCUGCGGUGUAGACGGCUCUCUGGACCAUUACUGACGCUGAGACACGAAAGCGUGGGUAGCAAACAGGAUUAGAUACCCCCGUAGUCC